Molecule: transfer-messenger RNA, 351 nt
Filed under: bovine gut metagenome
Rfam family: transfer-messenger RNA
About the family: Bacterial tmRNA, also known as 10Sa RNA or SsrA, is named for its dual tRNA and mRNA-like properties. Its role is to liberate the mRNA from a stalled ribosome.
Source: RNAcentral
GGGGGUGAUCCGGUUUCGACGGGAUGAGUUGAGGUCAGAUCGCGCGUCGAGGAUUCUCGUUGGCCUCGUUAAAAAACGGGAAAACAAGUAGUUGCGAACAGCGAUUACGCUCUCGCGGCCUAAAUAGUUGCCGCAUGUCGCACGGCCGACGCCUGCUGAGCCGCCGCGGCAUAAUCUAGCAGGACACGCUGCAGGAGGCUCCGUUCGCCCGCUGCAGGGUGCCGAACCGAGCGGAUGGAAGGGGAUAAGCCCGCUGGUCGGCGUACCUCUCCCGAGACUAAUGGCCGGAUACACGCGUAGAAGUUUGGCUGAUUCCAUUUCGGACAGGGGUUCGACUCCCCUCACCUCCAU